UACAGAGGUCCCAAGCGUUGUUCGGAUUCAUUGGGCGUAAAGGGUGUGUAGGUGGCGCCGUAAGUCGACUGUGAAAUCUCCGGGCUUAACCCGGAACGGUCAGCCGAUACUGCGGGGCUAGAGUGCAGAAGGGGCAACUGGAAUUCUCGGUGUAGCGGUGAAAUGCGUAGAUAUCGAGAGGAACACCUGCGGCGAAGGCGGGUUGCUGGGCUGACACUGACGCUGAGGCGCGAAAGCGUGGGGAGCAAACAGG
This 253-nucleotide ribosomal RNA is filed under the name uncultured bacterium. RNAcentral's name for it is "partial 16S ribosomal RNA". It matches the Rfam family "Bacterial small subunit ribosomal RNA", at positions 524 to 776 of the family's 1533-position model. The record is from RNAcentral.